CCCUCUCCAGCCUUUGAGGAAGUACUUCUUGUUUGUAAUUCAUUAGGAAAUUUCCCUUGCUGCUACACUUCCUCUGGUUCAGCACCCUGUGACCAGAUGGUUCAAAUUUCUUCCCCAACCUUUGCUCCACUGGGGUUCUUUUUCUGGUGCAGUGGUGCCCUAACAAAAAAAAAAAAGUUUAAGCCUCAACAUGCCCUUUGCUUUUUGUGUUCCUUCCACCUUGGUCCCUCAAUUAACUCUGUACAGUGAGGCUGAAUUAACAUGGCUUGUUACUACCUCCCUUUCAAGGACAAGACAGGCCAUCUUUCUAACAGUAGUAGUUGGACUCUCCCUGGCCUCCUCCCUUGCUGCCUCCGAAC
Molecule: long non-coding RNA, 359 nt
Filed under: Marmota monax (woodchuck)
Lineage: Eukaryota; Metazoa; Chordata; Mammalia; Rodentia; Sciuridae
Source: RNAcentral